Molecule: ribosomal RNA, 261 nt
Filed under: uncultured Methanosaeta sp.
Lineage: Archaea; Methanobacteriati; Methanobacteriota; Methanomicrobia; Methanotrichales; Methanotrichaceae
Description: partial 16S ribosomal RNA
Rfam family: Archaeal small subunit ribosomal RNA
Source: RNAcentral
CUCCGGAGUGACGGGUACACUGUGGGGACCGCCGCUGCUAAAGCGGAGAAGGGAAUGGGCAACGGUAGGUCAGUAUGCCCCGAAUAUCCCGGGCUACACGCGAGCUACAAUGGUUGGUACAAUGGGUAUCUACCCCGAAAGGGACGGGAAUCUCCUAAAACCAAUCUUAGUUCGGAUUGAGGGCUGCAACUCGCCCUCAUGAAGCUGGAAUCCGUAGUAAUCGCGUUUCAACAGAACGCGGUGAAUACGUCCCUGCUCCUU